RNAcentral lists this ribosomal RNA (383 nucleotides) under uncultured eukaryote. RNAcentral's name for it is "partial 18S ribosomal RNA". It matches the Rfam family "Eukaryotic small subunit ribosomal RNA", at positions 592 to 976 of the family's 1831-position model. The record is from RNAcentral.
CAAUAGCGUAUAUUAAAGUUGUUGCAGUUAAAAAGCUCGUAGUUGGAUUUCUGGUGGGAGCGAUCGGUCUGGCGCUUAUCGCGAGUACUUGCAUCGUCUCCGGCCAUCCUUGGGGAGAGUCUGUCUGGCAUUAGGUUGUCGGGCAGAGGAUCCUCAUCGUUUACUGUGAAAAAAUUAGAGUGUUCAAAGCAGGCUUAUGCCGUUGAAUAUAUUAGCAUGGAAUAAUAAGAUAGGACUUUGGUACUAUUUUGUUGGUUUGCGCACCAAAGUAAUGAUUAAUAGGGACAGUUGGGGGUAUUCGUAUUCCGUUGUCAGAGGUGAAAUUCUUGGAUUUACGGAAGACGAACUACUGCGAAAGCAUUUACCAAGGAUGUUUUCAUUAA